Molecule: ribosomal RNA, 496 nt
Filed under: uncultured bacterium
Lineage: Bacteria
Description: partial 16S ribosomal RNA
Rfam family: Bacterial small subunit ribosomal RNA
Source: RNAcentral
GAUGAACGCUGGCGGCGUGCCUAAUACAUGCAAGUCGAGCGAACGGACGAGAAGCUUGCUUCUCUGAUGUUAGCGGCGGACGGGUGAGUAACACGUGGAUAACCUACCUAUAAGACUGGGAUAACUUCGGGAAACCGGAGCUAAUACCGGAUAAUAUUUUGAACCGCAUGGUUCAAAAGUGAAAGACGGUCUUGCUGUCACUUAUAGAUGGAUCCGCGCUGCAUUAGCUAGUUGGUAAGGUAACGGCUUACCAAGGCAACGAUGCAUAGCCGACCUGAGAGGGGGAUCGGCCACCCUGGAACUGGGACACGGUCCAGACUCCUACGGGAGGCAGCAGUAGGAAAUCUUCCGCAAGGGGCGAAAGCCUGACGGAGCAACGCGGCGGAAGUGAUGAAGGUCUUCGGAUCGUAAACCUCUGUUAUUAGGGAAGAACAUAUGUGUAGGUAACUGUGCACAUCUGGACGGUACCUAAUCAGAAAGCCACGGCUAACUACGG